CCCAGUAGCAUUCCUCAACCAAAGGAUGCUCCAAAUAUAAUACCUGGACCUACUUCAGAGAAUCCUAAUCAAAUUCAGAUAUAGCUGCAAAUUUUUUGGUAGUCGGAUGUCACUUCAGGUAUGUGUUGUGUCUUUACAUGGAAAAGCUUUUUCUUUUCUUUUCUUUUCCUUCUUACAAGCCCAUAAAAUCCAUUAAUUCAGAACCAAAGUACAAACUUGUUGGUUCAAUACACUGAAGGAUUGAAUCCAAGCCACAGUGGUGAGAUGUCUACAUCCUGAUGGGCUACGGCUAAGCUAAAAAAAAUAUGAUUCUCUCUCAUCUUAACAAAGAUUAAA
Magnolia sinica is the source of this 336-nucleotide long non-coding RNA. RefSeq lists it as uncharacterized. Lineage: Eukaryota; Viridiplantae; Streptophyta; Magnoliopsida; Magnoliales; Magnoliaceae. The record is from RefSeq and is a predicted model, not a curated record. The transcript has 2 exons.